Molecule: ribosomal RNA, 472 nt
Filed under: uncultured bacterium
Lineage: Bacteria
Description: bacterial SSU rRNA
Rfam family: Bacterial small subunit ribosomal RNA
Source: RNAcentral
AGAGUUUGAUCAUGGCUCAGAACGAACGCUGGCGGCAGGCUUAAUACAUGCAAGUCGAGCGGGCACUUCGGUGUCAGCGGCGCACGGGUGCGUAACGCGUGGGAACAUGCCUUUAGGUACGGAACAACCAAGGGAAACUUUGGCUAAUACCGUAUAAUAUCUCCGGAUCAAAGAUUUAUCGCCUAAAGAUUGGCCCGCGUUAGAUUAGGUAGUUGGUGGGGUAAUGGCCUACCAAGCCGACGAUCUAUAGCUGGUCUGAGAGGAUGAUCAGCCACACUGGAACUGAGACACGGUCCAGACUCCUACGGGAGGCAGCAGUAAGGAAUAUUGGACAAUGGGCGAAAGCCUGAUCCAGCCAUGCCGCGUGAGUGAUGAAGGCCUUAGGGUUGUAAAGCUCUUUUAGAUGGGAAGAUAAUGACUGUACCAUCAGAAUAAGCCCCGGCUAAAUUCGUGCCAGCCGCCGCGGUAAUAC